CACACAAUCUAGGGGCCGCGGGGCCGCGGGGCCCUUAAUCAGGUCAAGUGCCGCUUCAUUAAACUGCUGGUCGCUGCCAUGUAAAGCACCAGAGCUCAUCUCAGAGACUGUGCCCCUGGAGGACUCGCCGUAAUGGUUUCAGUGCUGACGGCUGCUCUAAUCAUUGGCUCCAACCUCAAUUUUACCAUUUAUUUCAUUCAGCACUGGUGUUUACGGGGAAACCCUGUGAAAUCGGCUCGAAUGUGCCGCUUCGGCGAGUAUAUUUACUUCCUGCAGGUCUGAGAUCAGUGAAUACUGACAGAUAUGAGGAGGAAGAUGCUUCAAAACAGACUGACAUACGCAUUAUUAUACAUGGAUCCUGCAAGAUGAUUCAACUACAGGCAUCAGCUGUAGAAAUCACUGUUAAUGAGAUCACACAUGCCAGAUUUAUUUAUUUAUUAAGUCAUAUUUGAUCCAGGUAUUAUGAAGACACGAGCAGCAGCGACUCAAAGCGCUUCAAGCUUCACUCACUGAACGGAAUUGAGGAAGACAGCAGGAGAAAGAGCAGCGUCUCUCACUGAUGGCAUCUUCAGAUCUGCUUCACACUGACGUCUUCACUGACGGCUCAGAAAUGGGCUCUUGUGGUGUAGUGGUUAACAAUCUGGGUCGAACCCCACUCAGCAUUGCAGUGAGGCUUUAUUAAUUAAAGCAUCAGCAAAAUUAUCUACAGAUACAUCUCAAGACAUCAUUGAGAUGUUUGCUCUAAUCAAACUAAAGUGCCAGACUCAUGUUUGUUCAGUACAGCUUUUAUAUAAAUGACAAUGAUAAUGCAAAUGAGGUGUUCACAGUUUGUAAGUGUGACUGGAUGAUGACAGGCUCUAGUGCGCCCCCUCUGUCCCGGCUGACAGAAUGACAGCGACACAUUUAAAUAUUUAACUUAGAUCAUUAGAGUCAAUGCAAAUGAGCCAUACAUGGGUUGAAGAUAUAUAAAUAAAUAUUGAGCAAUACUGAA
This is a long non-coding RNA of Ctenopharyngodon idella (grass carp), 991 nucleotides long. RefSeq lists it as uncharacterized. The record is from RefSeq and is a predicted model, not a curated record. The transcript is spliced from 3 exons. Lineage: Eukaryota; Metazoa; Chordata; Actinopteri; Cypriniformes; Xenocyprididae.